CCCGCACAAGCAGCGGAGCGUGUGGUUUAAUUCGAUGUUACACGAAGAACCUUACCAGGGUUUGACAUGCAAGUGGUAGGAAGCCGAAAGGUGACCGACCUUCGGGAGCUUGCACAGGUGCUGCAUGGCCGUCGUCAGCUCGUGUCGUGAGAUGUUGGGUUAAGUCCGCUAACGAGCGCAACCCGCGUUGUGUGUUAUAUGUGUCACACAAUACCGCCGGUAUUAAGCCGGAGGAAGGUGCGGAUGACGUCAAGUCAGCAUGACCUUUAUAUCCAGGGCUACACACACGCUACAAUGGACAGUACAACAGGUUGCCAAGCCGCGAGGCGGAGCCAAUCCUCUAAAGCUGUCCUCAGUUCAGAUUGCAGGCUGCAACUCGCCUGCAUGAAGUUGGAGUUGCUAGUAACCGCAGGUCAGCUAUACUGCGGUGAAUACGUUCCCGGGGAUU
This 448-nucleotide ribosomal RNA is filed under the name uncultured Anaerolineaceae bacterium. RNAcentral describes it as "bacterial SSU rRNA". It matches the Rfam family "Bacterial small subunit ribosomal RNA", at positions 920 to 1378 of the family's 1533-position model. Lineage: Bacteria; Bacillati; Chloroflexota; Anaerolineae; Anaerolineales; Anaerolineaceae. The record is from RNAcentral.